AGAGUUUGAUCCUGGCUCAGGACGAACGCUGGCGGCGUGCCUAACACAUGCAAGUCGAGCGGAGACAGUGAGUAGCUUGCUAUGAGCUGUUUUAGCGGCGGACGGGUGAGUAACGCGUGAGCAACCUUUCCCAGACAGGGGAAUAACACACCGAAAGGUGUACUAAUACCGCAUAAGACCACGGGAUCACAUGGUUCUGGGGUAAAAGAUUUAUCGGUUUGGGGUGGGCUCGCGUCCGAUUAGGUAGUUGGUGAGGUAACGGCCCACCAAGCCGACGAUCGGUAGCCGACCUGAGAGGGUGAUCGGCCACAUUGGGACUGAGACACGGCCCAAACUCCUACGGGAGGCAGCAGUGGGGAAUAUUGGGCAAUGGAGGAAACUCUGACCCAGCAACGCCGCGUGGAGGAAGAAGGUUUUCGGAUCGUAAACUCCUGUCCUUGGAGACGAGUAGAAGACGGUAUCCAAGGAGGAAGCCCCGGCUAACUACGUGCCAGCAGCCGCGGUAAUACGUAGGGGGCAAGCGUUGUCCGGAAUAAUUGGGCGUAAAGGGCGCGUAGGCGGCUCGGUAAGUCUGGAGUGAAAGUCCUGCUUUUAAGGUGGGAAUUGCUUUGGAUACUGUCGGGCUUGAGUGCAGGAGAGGUUAGUGGAAUUCCCAGUGUAGCGGUGAAAUGCGUAGAGAUUGGGAGGAACACCAGUGGCGAAGGCGACUAACUGGACUGUAACUGACGCUGAGGCGCGAAAGUGUGGGGAGCAAACAGGAUUAGAUACCCUGGUAGUCCACACUGUAAACGAUGAAUGCUAGGUGUAGGGGGUAUCGACCCCUUCUGUGCCGCAGUCAACACAAUAAGCAUUCCGCCUGGGGAGUACGGCCGCAAGGUUGAAACUCAAAGGAAUUGACGGGGGCCCGCACAAGCAGCGGAACAUGUGGGUUUAAUUCGACGCCACCGCGAAGAACCUUACCAGGGCUUGACAUCCACUUUAACUUUCCAGAGAAAUAAAGGGUGGCUUUGCCCAAAAGGAGACAAGGGGGGGCACGGGGUGUCCCCCACCUCUGGCCUGGAGAGAUUGGGGUUAAAUCCCCCCACCAAAGGGCAACCCUUUUUUUUCUUUUUCUAACCCCGUGCAGGUGAGAGACUCUUAAAAAACUUCCCCGGGGACACCCCCCAGGGAGGGUGGGGACGACGUCAAAUCAUCAUGCCCCUUAUGACCUGGGCUACACACGUGCUACAAUGGCCACGACAGAGAGAAGCGAAAUCGUAAGGUAGAGCGGAACUCAAAAAAGUGGUCCCAGUUCGGAUUGUGGGCUGCAACCCGCCCACAUGAAGUCGGAGUUGCUAGUAAUCGCGGAUCAGCAUGCCGCGGUGAAUACGUUCCCGGGCCUUGCACACACCGCCCGUC
This 1398-nucleotide ribosomal RNA is filed under the name uncultured bacterium. RNAcentral's name for it is "bacterial SSU rRNA". It matches the Rfam family "Bacterial small subunit ribosomal RNA". The record is from RNAcentral.